Equus caballus (horse) is the source of this 3605-nucleotide long non-coding RNA. Lineage: Eukaryota; Metazoa; Chordata; Mammalia; Perissodactyla; Equidae. The record is from Ensembl.
GUGAUUCAGCUCCUCUCUCGCUGUUUUUCUCCGGUGUCUCUUGGCUUCUGCUUCAGCUACCAACUGCUCAGCUCUCUGUUGAUCUCACAUUUAAACUCCUUUAGUGAAAGGAUCUAAUUGGCCCCACUGGGCACUAACCAGGUGCUAGAGUUGGACUGAACUUUUGUGUCAGGCCUCCUUUUGGGUUACCGGACACCCUGCCGCUGGGCAGACCUUGGUCAGGUGCUUACUCCUGGGCUCGUCACCCAUGUCCACUUUGUUGGGUUGCAUGAUACAGAGCCUGGCCGCCUUUGCUUAAGAAACUUUGUAGAGUUCCUCCUCGUCUUCCCUCCACAGUAUUUGCGCCCCCAGAAGGAGCUAUGUUUACGGCAGGCACUUGGAGUUUAACAAACCUCUGUCUUCGGGAAGCCUCAAGGAUGAAUAAGAUACAACUCCAUUAGCUUACCAUCUAUAAGGAAAAGGAGCCAUGCUCACAAGUAAUAGUGGUACAAAGUGAUGGAUGAGGUGCUCCUGUCUGAUCUUCACAUGGCCAGUGCAGCCCUGGGGAGAUAACAUAAACAUACUCAUGCCUAGACCCUAUUCCGGGGCAAUUAAAUGAGGAUCUUUUGGGUGGUGGAGCCCAGGAGUUGGUAUUUUUUAAAUAUUCCUCAGGUCAUUCUAAGUGCAGCCUGCAUUGAGAUAUCAAUUAUCUUUAUUUUUUUCAAUGAUUACAAGCAUUUUAUGGUUCUUUUUGAGAGCAAAACUAAGAGACUCAUUUAUUUUGAUAGAUUCUAGGACUAAGACUCUUCCAAAAUAUUAAAUAUUUUUGAAAUACUACUAAUUAUCUUGAAAUGCUAAUAUAAAGGAAGAUGUAAAAUUUAAUUUAGAGUUAAAGCAAAUACUUCUAGUUCUGAAAAAACAUUUAUUUGCAUGAUUACAACAUUCAGAUGACAGCAGAAAAGGUGAAAAGCUCUAAAAAUUUCAGUCCUCUACUGCAAAGCCCAACAUUUAAAUGUACUGUAAUUGAUAUUGACAGAAAUUUCCUCAGACUCACCUUUACAGACAAUGAAAAACAAAGUUUCUCCCAAAGCGACUGCCAGAAAGUACUCAUUUGAUGUCUUGGGCACAGGGAAUGGCCUGAUGUCACAAAGCCCCCAAAUGCUGAAAGUAGGGACCCCCAUAGCUCUGUGACUCCAUCUUCUUUCUCGAAGAAACAAAGAGAUGUUUGAUUUGAAGCUAUUCCUCAGCAAAGUCCAGAAGAGAACAAUUUACAGUCCAGAAGAGAGCCACUUUUGCUCUGAAUCGUUAGCUCAUCCCCUGAUAAAGUAACGACAGACUGCUAAGAAGUCUCACCCUGUCCCUAGAUCUCAGCCUUUCAUCUGGAAAACCUUGCCUGAGAAUCAGAAAGAGAGAAGCAAGUCUUGUUCAAGCAUCUCAUCUCCUCUUUGAGAAAAAAGGUUCAAAACCGUGCUAAUUUCUCAUUUCACCAUUACCAUCAUCAGUAUCAGAAUUUGUUGUGGAGCUCUAACUGAAAGAUGUUGAAAUGAUGGGUGCUGACAGUGCUUGCAGAGAAAACACAAACAUAAAAUGAUGAAAAAUCAUAUAAGGUAUCCUCAGGCUAUGGGCCUGGAGUAUUACUGUAUUUGGAACUCAGAGUAGGCCUUGAUUGGGGUAGGGAGGAGGGGGUGGGGAGGGGCAUUCCAGGCUAGGUGGAAAGAGUCUCUGGAGACUACAGCCUGUGGGGCGCUGGGGCAGAGGGUCAGCCUUUGGCCAUUCACAGAGUCCUCAGUGAGCUCCCAGUGGGGCUUUGCAGCUGCUUUGCCUAGAAGGGCCAGGCCCUGGGUCCCUGGACUCCCUCAUAGCAGGUCAUGAUGGCUGAAACAGAAUCCAUCACUUGAGCAGGGCAAUUUCCUUUUCAAAGUCACCACUUUAUUGGGCAGGGAUUUGUUUCAUGCUUGCUGGCUCUUUAGCAGUCAUUUUCACCAAUGAUACUAUUACUCAUAAAGAAAAGAUAAAUUCACUGUCCUUCAAAUCACUUAAAAAAAGAGAAAAGAAAAAAAAAACAAAAGUGGGAAAAUGGACUGUAAUGGCCUCUUAGCAAAGUAGUAGUAAGAGACAAAUUCUUUGGAGCAAAUAGUUUCUCAUAAGAAAUCAAUUAUGACAUUGACAAGGUAGAUUUAUCAGUAAUUUCCAGCAGUUCUUAUAUAAGGAUCAGAUUGUCCCAUUAUCUAUUAAUUCUGUUUUUGGUUCUUGAGGUUGCGUUAUGAGACUCCUCUUCUCCAGAAAUAAAACUUCAAUCAGGCAUCUCUCUUCAUGAGGCCUUGUGUUGGCGGUUGUCAAGAGACACAAAAAGGCGUGAGGUAGCAUUCCUAUAUUCGGUGGUGGCACUUAUCUGGAUUUUGAAGAACGUGCUUGGGUCAGCCUGAAGAAGGAUGAGUGACAUGUGGAACAGAGUAGUCUUGCUCUGUUCAUCACAGCCAAGGUCAGCUUACAUUGGCUGAAAGCCAGCUGACUCCCCUGACCAGACAUAUAGCCAGCUCCAGGAGCCUGGUAAUUACCACGGAACCAGGCAGCAGAGGGAGCAGAUAAACUCAAAACAUUGAGUUUUCUGGGUGACAGGGAGCCAGGAGUUCUGAAGCCCUAAAAAUAUCUUUUAUCGUGGAGAACCCGUGCUUCUAUUUGAUGAUGAUAGUGGGGAGAUUCGCCCUGAGCUAGCAUCAGCUGCCAAUCUUCCUCUUUUUAUAUGUGAGCUGCCACCACAGCAUGGCCACUAACAGACGUGUGGUGUGGGUCCACGCCCAGGAACCGAACACAGGCUGCUAAAGUGGAGCACACUGAAGUUAACCACUAGGCCAAGGGGGCUGGCCUGAGGUUCAAUAAUUUUUAAUAAGUGCAAAAUAUGUACCAGCUCACACACACUCCCUGGUCUCAUGGAAUUUACGGCGUAGAUGAGAAGAUCAACAUUAAAGUCUAGCUGAUGAUACUGAUGAAUGCAUAACUAUACACAGAGUAGUGCUCUGAAGAAAGGAAUGCUGCACUACAAAAGGACACGAUGAAAGAGCCCGACCUUGACUGGGGAUCAGGGAAAGCUUCUUCGAGGAAGCAAUCCUUGAGCUGAGAACCGAUUUAAAGAAGACGGAAGUGACCAUAUGCCAGUUCAGAGUGGGACUUCAAGAAGCAUGGUUUCCAGGUUGUCUUCAAGGAGUACACCAUUGACUCUGAAAUUAGCUGUUGUGUGGACAGAUACGUUACAAGUCUCUAAAUUACCAAGCUGCAGGAUCUUGUCAUUCCAAUGCUUUAAUGGACUCUAACACCAUUUCAGCCCUCCCUUCUGCCCUGAGACCUUGUCACCUGGGCAAUUUCAGGUUUCUUUUCCUUCCAGAUGUCAGGGCCUCUCCUCCUCCUCCUUGCUUUUCUUUAGCAUCAACAUUUCCAACUACUAUUUUCUAGUUAUCUUUCUUUUUGUUUCUGUGAUACAUCCAAACCUUGGAUUUUCCCUAAAGGGAAAAGUGGGUCUUCUGCCUAGGAGAAGUGGAUGGCUUCCCAAGUUGUGCUCAAGGGCUCUUUCCUCAGUUUUCAGAUUUUUUGGGAACUGAAAAAUCUGGUUGCUGGAUUGUGUGUAUGUG